Molecule: long non-coding RNA, 550 nt
Organism: Melospiza melodia melodia
Lineage: Eukaryota; Metazoa; Chordata; Aves; Passeriformes; Passerellidae
Exons: 3
Source: RefSeq, a predicted model, not a curated record
UUUUUUUAGUUUAGGAUUUUUUUAUCUGUAUCUGUUUUUUCUUUCUACUGAAUUUUGAUAAAUUGUUUCUUACCUUCAACUAUAAGAGGUAUAUCCACCUGAAAAAAAAAAAAGGCAGGAGAGAAAUAAGUAGAAACAACCUUUGUAAAAUCCCACACUUAUCUAAGAGGAUAAAUACAUUUCAUGAUAAAUCUAUGAUUUUCUUUUAGUUUUCUCCAGGAUUCCUGUUUUAUGAAUGGGAGAGUCAGACCAGACAGACAGACUUCUUUUGACUUGGGUGAUCUGAGUACAACCACACUGGAGUUGAGAACGGUUUGUCCAUUCACUAAACUUGAUUUUGGGUAUGAGGAAUGAAGAACUGUCGUUCCCUAAAUCCAAGCAGAGGACAUCUACAGGACACCUGGUGGAACUGGGCACAGUGACAAGAACUUUCAUUUCUUUGAAUACUCGUGUCAUUUUGGGAUUCUCCAGUUCUUCCUCUGUCAAAGUAUUCUUCAUGACAUCUCAAUCUAUUUCAACAGAAAAGCUUCUGCAAGACACAGCUUAUAGG